Molecule: ribosomal RNA, 253 nt
Filed under: uncultured bacterium
Lineage: Bacteria
Description: partial 16S ribosomal RNA
Rfam family: Bacterial small subunit ribosomal RNA
Source: RNAcentral
UACAGAGGUCUCAAGCGUUGUUCGGAUUCAUUGGGCGUAAAGGGCGCGUAGGCGGCAAGGUAAGUCGGGUGUGAAAGCUUGGGGCUUAACCCCGAAAGGGCACUCGAAACUGCCCUGCUAGAGGGCCGGAGAGGAGAUCGGAAUUCACGGUGUAGCAGUGAAAUGCGUAGAGCUCGUGAGGAAGACCGGUGGCGAAGGCGGAUCUCUGGACGGCCCCUGACGCUGAGGCGCGAAGGCUAGGGGAGCAAACGGG